CCUACGGGAGGCAGCAGUGGGGAAUAUUGCACAAUGGGGGAAACCCUGAUGCAGCGACGCCGCGUGAGUGAAGAAGGAAUUCGGGAUGUAAAGCUCUAUCAUCAGGGAAGAAAAUGACGGUACCUGAGGAAGAAGCCCCGGCUAACUACGUGCCAGCAGCCGCGGUAAUACGUAGGGGGCAAGCGUUAUCCGGAUUUACUGGGUGUAAAGGGAGCGUAGACGGAAGUGCAAGUCUGGAGUGAAAUGCGGGGGCUCAACCCCCGGACUGCACUGUAAACUGUAAGGCUAGAGUGCAGGAGAGGUGAGUGGAAUUCCUAGUGUAGCGGUGAAAUGCGUAGAUAUUAGGAAGAACACCAGUGGCGAAGGCGGCUUACUGGACUGUAACUGACGUUGAGGCUCGAAAGCGUGGGGAGCAAACAGGAUUAGAUACCCCAGUAGUC
This 440-nucleotide ribosomal RNA is filed under the name uncultured bacterium. RNAcentral's name for it is "partial 16S ribosomal RNA". It matches the Rfam family "Bacterial small subunit ribosomal RNA", at positions 338 to 795 of the family's 1533-position model. The record is from RNAcentral.